CCGCCGUGGCCAUUUUGGCUCAAG
This 24-nucleotide small RNA is filed under the name Karenia brevis. RNAcentral describes it as "trans-spliced leader sequence SL". Lineage: Eukaryota; Dinophyceae; Gymnodiniales; Kareniaceae. The record is from RNAcentral.